Molecule: ribosomal RNA, 494 nt
Filed under: uncultured bacterium
Lineage: Bacteria
Description: partial 16S ribosomal RNA
Rfam family: Bacterial small subunit ribosomal RNA
Source: RNAcentral
GACGAACGCUGGCGGCGCGCUUAACACAUGCAAGUCGAACGGAAAGGCCUGCUUUCCCUUGUGGAUUGCGGGUACUCGAGUGGCGAACGGGUGAGUAACACGUGAGUGAUCUGCCCCCAACUUGGGUAUAAGCCUGGGAAACUGGGUCUAAUUCCCGAUAGGACUGCAGGGUGGUGCCUGUGGUGGAAAACGAUUUUCUAGUGGUUGGGGAUGAGCUCGCGGCCUAUCAGCUUGUUGGUGGGGUAAUGGCCUACCAAGGCGGCGACGGGUAGCCGGCCUGGGAGGGUGGACGGCCACAUUGGGACUGGGAUACGGCCCAGACUCCUACGGGAGGCAGCAGUGGGGAAUAUUGGACCAUGGGCGGAAGCCUGAUGCAGCGACGCCGCGUGGGGGAUGACGGCCUUCGGGUUGUAAACUCCUUUCGACCGCGAGGAAGCCACCUGGUUGGAAGGGUGGUGACGGUAGUGGUAGAAGAAGCACCGGCUAACUACGUG